This 348-nucleotide long non-coding RNA is filed under the name Capra hircus (goat). Its description in RNAcentral is "lncRNA (ENSCHIG00010028835.1)". Lineage: Eukaryota; Metazoa; Chordata; Mammalia; Artiodactyla; Bovidae. The record is from RNAcentral.
CCGGUGGCAGGUAUGGAACCUAUAGGGGGGCCUGUCACCCGGCACGUGCGCCGGGGGCCGGCCGGGCGGGAGGGGAGGAAGGCCGGCGGGCCGGCAGGGGGCCGACCCCGACCCCGACCCCGACCCGACCCGACCAGAUCCGCCCCGGAGCCCGGGCCUGGCCGGCUGGGCCUCGCUCCCAGCGCCCCUGGCAGGGCUGCCUCGGCGAGGAGGUUCUAAUACUGGCAAGCUGGACUUGUUGGACUUGGGAGAAUUCAGGAAAGAGCACUGUUCUUGGAGUGAGAGCACAUUUGAUCAGCCAGUUGACCUUGGGCAAGUAGUUUGACUUCACUGCCCUGCACUCAUUUC